RNAcentral lists this long non-coding RNA (423 nucleotides) under Brassica napus (rape). Its description in RNAcentral is "long non-coding RNA (BNAP_LNC010326)". The record is from RNAcentral. Lineage: Eukaryota; Viridiplantae; Streptophyta; Magnoliopsida; Brassicales; Brassicaceae.
UUUUUCAUCUUGCUAAGACAAUUUCAUUUUGGAAAAACGUUACGGUUUUCUUAUCUUAUUAAGUUGUUCGGUUUUCAUUCCUAUCUUGGUUAUGCAGUCUUUAAAAUUUUAUGUAUUCGUGUUCAUUAUUGUACUAUGAAGAGGUAAACAUAAUACAAUGCAUGGAGUCGAAUAAGGAAUACGUACAAUUCAUGCAUUGAUUCGUUUGCGUCCAGCUGUUAAUUAUUACACUUCGAUCUACCACAUAUUUGCCAUCAUAAAUCAAAAUCGAUUUCUCCAACCUUAACUGACUCAAUAGAAUAUUCUUCAAGCUGGCCACAAAUUUAAUAAAGGAUAUUGCCAUAUUUCAUGCCAAUAAUGCAGACUGCAUUCAUUAAGAAUUAAAUAGAAUAUAUACUACCAUUAAUACAAAUAACUAAAGAU